This 73-nucleotide transfer RNA is filed under the name archaeon. Its description in RNAcentral is "tRNA-Tyr". It matches the Rfam family "tRNA". From Rfam's summary of the family: Transfer RNA (tRNA) molecules are approximately 80 nucleotides in length. Their secondary structure includes four short double-helical elements and three loops (D, anti-codon, and T loops). Further hydrogen bonds mediate the characteristic L-shaped molecular structure. tRNAs have two regions of fundamental functional importance: the anti-codon, which is responsible for specific mRNA codon recognition, and the 3' end, to which the tRNAs corresponding amino acid is attached (by aminoacyl-tRNA synthetases). tRNAs cope with the degeneracy of the genetic code in two manners: having more than one tRNA (with a specific anti-codon) for a particular amino acid; and 'wobble' base-pairing, i.e. permitting non-standard base-pairing at the 3rd anti-codon position. The record is from RNAcentral. RNAcentral also lists the same sequence under 1 other name.
CCCGCCUUAGCAUAGUAGCUAAUGCGUCCGGCUGUAGACCGGAAGAUCCCCGGUGCAAGUCCGGGAGGCGGGA